This 6630-nucleotide transfer RNA is filed under the name Homo sapiens (human). RNAcentral's name for it is "PREDICTED lncRNA (TCONS_00019553)". Lineage: Eukaryota; Metazoa; Chordata; Mammalia; Primates; Hominidae. The record is from RNAcentral.
CAGAAGUGACUUGUUUGGUCUCUGAUUCUUGCACUCAGGCACAAGACAACCUGACAUUUCAGGAGAUGGUCUGUCAGAAUUGGAUCUCUGAGUGGGGUGGCUCUUGAUAGGGAUCCCUGUUAACUGUGACUAGAAUCCUGAGAAGAGAAAAACCUUCCUGAAAUGGGCAUAUCCCUGGCUGGCCUGGAACCAACCUUUCGGACUUAGGACUAUGGGAAGAAUAGGGGGAGAUUCUCUAGUGAUGAUAAUACAUGAAUGCUUUAAAAGCUAGAACAGGCGUCCCUGGGUGGUCUUGAACUACUCACCGUUCGGUUAAUAGCCGAACGCUCUGACCGAUUGCGCCACAGAGACAGGUACUAGCGAUUCCACUGGGCGCUAUAGGCAGGGCGCACUCACCGAACUCCCCAAUCCCUUCCAGCCUCAGAGCCCGCCUGGCAGGACUACUGAGCAAGGCCUUGGAAAAUCGGAGCGAUUAGAGCGAAGUGCUUCGGUCAGGCAGUAUCUUUGAAAAUAAUUUGGCCAAUGAAAGCCCUGGCAUUGGAUGAAAGUGCUAGCUGCUGGGAAUGCUACCCCUCCUUUUGGUUCUCUUUCAAGUCCUUCAGGUUCAAACAAUACAGAAGUGUAUAAAGUAAGAAUUGAAAGUCUCUUCGCUGCUCUAAUCUCACUCCUCAGAGGUGAUCACUGAUUAUCAUCCCAGAGCCCUCCCUGAAGCCCACACACAGCUUCUUCAGGAAAUGCUGACAGCAUGGACCUGAGUGAGCAGAAGGCUUUUCAGAAUUACAGCCUGAACUAUUUCUUGAGCAAUUUGGGAACUCAUUUCUAAAGCAGUCCUCAGAUUCACACAACGUAGUUUGUGACGGAGUAUGCCCAGAGCAGCUGUCUUGUUGAUGGGGGUGCACCCUGACGAAUGGUGUGCUGGCAAAGAUUUAACAAAAGGCUCCAGAGGAGGGCAGACUUGAAGUGGAGCCUUCAGUGGGCAGUGUGAAGGGUGCUGAUUUCAAACAACUCAUCUGGUAUGACUGAACAUGAAGUUGGGAAGAGAUGUGCAUAAUUGAAGUGGGUGAGAGCCAGUCCAGCACCCUGCAGAGAGUGUGGAAGAUGAUCAAAGUAUGACAUUUCUUCUACCCCAGAGGCUGGCAUUUCUGCAGGCACAAAUGAGCUUGGUUUUCAAGCACUGCUCUUUGAACACAAGGAAUUCCUUUAAUGAUCACGCCGGACUAUAUAGACUUUGGAAUCAGACUCUUUGAAUUCCAGCUCUGCCAUUUACCAACUUUGACACUUUGGACAACGUCUCAUUCUGUCACCCAGGCUGGAGUGCAGUGGCACAAUUAUAGCUCACUGCAGCCUCAAACACCUGGGCUCAAGCAAUCCUUCCACCUCUGCCUCCUGAGUAAUUGGGACUACAGGCAUGUGCCACCACACCCAGCUAAUUUUUAAUUUUUAAUUUUUUUGUAGAGAUGGCGGUCUUGCUAUGUCACCCAGGCUGGUCUUGAACACCUGGCCUCAAGUGAUCCUCCGGCCUUGGUCUCUCAAAGCUCUGGGAUUACAGACAUGAGCCACUGCACCCGGCUCUAUCUCCCCUUCCUAUGUGUGUUAGCUCUAGAACAAGAGAAGCCUUGUUGAGAUUCCUGGCUGCCCACCCCCCAUCACCUCUCUGACUUUGGGCAAGUUGCCUGGCCUCUCUCAGCCUUUAUUUUCUUUUUGUGAAAUGGGGAUAAUAAUAGUACUUGCCUCAUAGGCAAAAUGUUGUGAGAACUAAACGAGAAAAUGCAUGUAAAGCACUUGGCACUUAGUUCUUUUUAUGAUUAUAAUGAUAAUCAGACACAAUAAAUUAUGUCUCACAUCACAUGCUGUUUAGCCUAUUCACUGUUCUAUUUUUCCUGAAGUCAGUUCAGUGUGUAGCAUCCAGAAUUGAACAAAACACCCCCGAUGUGACCUGAUAGUGCAAAGUAAACUAUCAUCUCCUUCAUUCUAGGUAUUAUGUUUCUAUUAAUGCAGUCUAAAGGGUUUUGGAAAUCUGGAUUGUAGCAGGGCAUUGUAAGUUAAAAAAUCAUCUUCCCAUUCUGUUCUUUGCAAAGAUAUUUCUGUUCCUUAAAUUUGUUGAGGGUAAGAGAUUGCAGAUUGCUUCUGUGGACUUCUUGAAGGUGGAUCUGCCUGUUGGUGGAGAACCCUAGACUGCAUGCAGCCAUGCACAUGAUCUGGAGACACAGCAGGUUGUACCAGAAGCAGGGCUGAGGAGGCCUUAGGAAACUUAAAAUCAUGGCGGAAGGCAAAGGGGAAACAGGUCAUCCUCAGCAUUUAUACUCUCUCUCCUUUUGUGCCCCCAUGGACCAAGUUAAGAAGGUGUAGGCUUCAAAUCUUAAGAUCGGUCACCACAAAAUUCAAAAAGACAAGGUCUUUGUCUGUUGCUCAGGAUGGAGUGUAGUGGUGCCAUAGCACACUGUAAUCUUGAAUUUCUGGACUACUGGCAUACACCACCAUGCUUAGGUUCGGGCCACAACAUCCGUGACUUUACCGGUUUUGGUCUCUUCCUUGUAACUUUCGGCUCCAGGAUGCUGCGCAGCUCCUCUCUGCACUAUCUAUCAGAACGUUGCUCUGCGUGCUUGAAAGUUUCGCCAAACAGAAGUACACAAAAACAAACAGAGGCGAAACACAAAUCCCCUCAGCCCUGGAGGAAAAGGCCUUGAAGCUCUUCCAGUGCAGAGGCCACGCAGAGGACAUGCUCCUACCUGUGCACAUCGGCCACGCCUGGGGUGCCUCCUGGAGUCCAGGCUGCUGGCGAUGGAAUCCAUCAUGUUGCUGAUGUCACUACUCUCAACUCCUGAUGGCAUCAGAACACAGGCAGCAUCAAGAUCAGGCUCAAGAUGCAGGAUUUUAUCAUCCAAAUCAGGCCCACAUAUGGAUGAAACCCUUCAGGUAUUCUGCACAUCUCUCAGGAAACCCAGAUGAAAUUGAGUGCCUGCUGCCCACAUCAGCAACCCAGACAUCCCACUUGAUUCUGCUUCUGGAGCCUAAGAUGGGAAAAUGGCAGGUGUCGCAGGUUGCAGGGGAAGGUCGGAGACCAGUUGAGGGCCCCGGAGUCUGUCUGGAAAGAGUUUUCCAUCCAGCCCGUCUCGGUUUCCGCAUCCGUGUGAGUCCUUUAUGACGUCGGGAAUGCCAAGGUCUGAGUCCUUUAUGAUGUUCAGGGUGCCCCGGUCUCACCCCGGGAGCCUCCUCGCUCCGGCCUGCUCCUGGCUACCCGGUGGGCGGCUCUGGCCCCAGCGACCCGCUACUGUUUCUCCAUGCGCUGCCACUUCGCAAAGGCACAUCUCUAGGUCAGUGGUCAGCUGCAGCCAGGGCGCUGCAACUCGCUCCAGGACUCGGGAAUCAGGGCCUUGGUGGGCCUCGCAGAGUGCUGGGUGUGUCGCCUGCGGGCUCCUCUUUUGGAGAAAGGAGGGAGGGAAAGGCCUUGUGAGACGACUCCAGGAGCGACCAGCGACCCCCACAAGGCCCAAGUCCUCCCAGCGCACUCAGAAACAGUCACUUAAAUGGCAAUAAGGUUGAGAAAGACUCUCCCGUGCCCCCGUGCUGGUGUAGUGGCUGUGAUUCAGUCCUUUCACCACCGCAUCCCGGGUUCGAUUACCGGUCAGGGAGUUGUUUUGCACUGACUGCCCACCCGCAGUAAUCUUUCUUUACUCCGCUGUCAGCCGGCCUGCUCCAAGAGCCAGAGGCAGAAGAGUCUCCCUGCAAGGUGCAAACCCUGGCGAAGGAGGGCAAGUCCUGGUGGACGGCCUCUCAUGACACACCCUCUUAUUUAUCUCCGUGUCCACCAUUCGCAGAAGGGGCUUUAGAGAGCGACUGAGCGUCUCGCUCAGGUGUACACCACCGUGCAGAGAUGGCAGCUCUCCUGGAGGUGUACCCAAGAAGCCCACCAUCUUUGCCGCCUCCGCCAUCCCAGAGGCGCCGAUUGGGCUGAGCUGCAAAUAACUAAGAGAGAGAGAGGCCAAGCCAAGUCGUGGCGUUUGUGUGCGGCACACGUCGUCAGCUGACACAGGCGGUCAGCUGAGCCUCCUCACCUCAGUUCGCAGCUAACAUGCUUCUUAGGCCUUCGGAAGAGGCGACAGGAGGCGAUGGCCGCGAGGUUGGGAGGGGGGUGAGCGGCGGGUGAGGUCCUCCAGGACCGCCCAUUUAUUGACUGGGUGGUACAGGAGGGCGAUGUUCGCUUACCCAACAACGACAGCAGGUGGAGUAGGCACUAAUGGAAAACUGUGGCCGGUGCCCUAAGCAGAAGGCAGGUGUAAAAAUCACUAGGACAUCAAAGGGAUAGUACCACAGUCAAAUCCCGCAAUGUCUGUCUACACUCUACCAAGCAAUUGUGCACCCUCCCCCUUUUCCAUUCAGUACUCCCAAGAAGGGUUGGGACGAACCCUGUGUCCACUGUAAAGCUCAGGGGAGAGCGGGAGCGAGGGAGGUGAAGUGCACAGACUGGGCAGAGGCGGCGGGCAGAACUGCGGGGGUGAGAGGGCGCGGUGGCUGCGGGGCGGGAGCCUCUGCUGAAAGGAGGCCUGGGUUGUCCUGUGGGUGACUGUUGGUGGAAUCUUUGGCAGCGAGUGGUUGGAAGAAUGGCGACGGGCGAGCAGAGGGGAAGGUGGUGACCCUGAGCGUCUGGCUAGGGGAGAGGAGGCUGUACUGACACUCGUCUCCUCUUACCUGGCGAGGGACAGACCGUGGUCAAGAAGGGAGCUCUCCCUGGUUGAGGCUAGUCCACCACACUCCAGCUGCUCUGACCCCUGCGAUUUCCCUACACGCGGGGCGCUUGUCUGCGGUGGUGUUUGCGCUACCCGGGGGCUGGGUUCACGCAGGCUCCUGACAGUCCUUGGCUCACCGCCCCCGACGCGGAUAUCGCCGCUAGAGACCCUUCCGCCACCCUCCUAGGGAUCUUGAGGGCCUUCCUUGUUGUUCCGACUGAAGCUCACGAACAGACAGAUGUGAGCUCUCUGUCUUUUACACGUUGAAUUUGGCUAUUGGCAAAAAAAGCCCUGACCCAGAGCUUGGGACUCCUCCCGGCCUGCACACGACUUCCCGACUCUUGCCUCCUAGCGCGGCUCUUGGCUAGCGGGCGGGCAGCCUCCACCCAGCGUAGAACCGCGGCAGCCGCAGCCCCCGCAGGCUGGCGGUCAGACACUAGCAGGAAAAGGGACACAAGGCCUGCGUGGUGGGAAAGCAUGGGAGACGUCGCUUUCCCACCAGGCGAGAAGGUCUCCCUACAGUCUUUGGACAGAAGAUGGAGGGAGGCACCCCUUCCAGGAGCAAGGCGGCUGCUCCUGAGGCCUGGCUCCGCACGGAGGCUCCUGGGUCCCGCGCGCCCUCUCCCUACCGGUUAUAGCCAGAGCUGCUUCACACAUCUCAGCCGGCUUCCUCUUCCGCCUCUGCCACCUCUUCCUCCCCAGCUCGUGGGAAAGACCUAGCCUCCUCUCCAACACUUGGAGAGGGAGUUGGAUGAACGUCUCCUAACCCCAGUAGGACAGAGAUCCUGAGGUAGGAGGGGACCCCUUGCCUUGCUGCUUCUUUUGGCACCGCUGACCCGGGCCCAGGACUCCUCGCUCCUCCUGGAAGGCCUGGGUCGUGUAGCCCACAGAGGUGGCCACGUGGGCAUCUCCCCCACUGCUCCUCAUAGAACCGGAGGCAUUAUCCUGCCGGGCCCACUCUUACCCAUGAAAGAAACUUGGGAAAUGCUCCCGGGGAAGCCGGGGAUCUGGGCGCUCGACCACUUCGGUGUGAAUCUUCCGUCCGCUCAUCCUUCCUUCGGAGGGUCUUGGGGAGAGGAGAAAUGCUCAAGGACGAUGCGCUUUGCAGCGUCUCAAGGGAAACUAGAUCUCAACGGAUACCAGAAGUCUGGAGCGUCUUCCUGGAGGAAGGCGGCCCGAGGCCUGCGGUUGCAGGGAGGCUUGCGGAGCACAGCGCCCUCUCUCAGCCUGAGCUAUCCAGUGGCUUCCAGCAUCCCAGCUGGCCGACUCCACUUCCUCUCUCUUCCUCCUACUGCGGGUCUUCUUCUUCUCUUUGGGGACCGAAUCUCGCUCUGUCGCCCAGGCUGGAGUGCAGUGGCGCGAUCUCGGCUUACUGCAACCUCCGCCUCCCGGGUUGAAGCGAUUCUCCUGCCUCAGCCUCCCGAAUAGCUGGGACUACAGGCGCGUGCCACCACGCCCGGCUAAUUUUUUGUAUUUUUAGUUGAGACGGGGUUUCACCCUGUUAGCCAGGAUGGUCUCGAUCUCCUGGCCUCUUGAUCCGCCCGCCUCGGCCUCCCAAAGUGCUGGGAUUACAGGCGUGAGCCUCCGCGCCCGGCCUACUGCGGCUCUUCUAUCCUGGUGUUCUUUGAAUGCCUAUCUUCCUUUUGUGCCACAGAACCUCUCACGCCCGCCACAGGUUGCUCAUUUCCUUGGUUGUUCUGAACUUUAAAUAAGUUAAUGUAUGUAAGAGUGCCAUAAAUGCUCAGUAAUUGACAUCUGUUAUUUUCAUCAGUAACAUCAUCUGAAUCAUCUGUAUUGUCUAUUUUUAACAACUGCAUUUUUCAUUGUCCAAAUAAAGUCACAUACAUUUGAACAUUAUAUAAUGAUUGAAUAAUAAAAUUAUUCUGCUAUUUUACAAUAAAAA